ACCUUAUCGACAAUUGGGAAGACACCUGGUUAAGACUUCCCUUCAGGUGUUGACACUACAACGAGAGACUGAUAAGGUCAUGGUGAAAAGGCAGAGAACAGCUUUCCCACCAAAUUUUGUACAUUCUCUUGAUGGUUCUCACAUGAUGAUGACUGCAGUUGCCUGCAAACAGGCAGGCUUGAGUUUUGCAGGGGUGCAUGAUUCAUACUGGACGCACGCAUGUGACGUCGAAGAAAUGAACAGAAUACUCAGGGAAAAGUUUGUAGAACUCUACGGGGAGCCAAUCUUGGAAAAUGUGAAGA
Tarenaya hassleriana is the source of this 302-nucleotide long non-coding RNA. RefSeq lists it as uncharacterized. The record is from RefSeq and is a predicted model, not a curated record. The transcript has 4 exons. NCBI's taxonomy places the organism in Eukaryota, Viridiplantae, Streptophyta, Magnoliopsida, Brassicales, Cleomaceae.